This 422-nucleotide ribosomal RNA is filed under the name uncultured eukaryote. Its description in RNAcentral is "bacterial SSU rRNA". It matches the Rfam family "Eukaryotic small subunit ribosomal RNA", at positions 592 to 1013 of the family's 1831-position model. The record is from RNAcentral.
CAAGAGCGUAUAUUAAAGUUGUUGCAGUUAAAAGCUCGUAGUUGGAUUUCUGGUACAAUGCGCCUGGCCCGCGACCGUUAGGUCUGUGAGUGCCGGUGCGCGUUUGCCAUCCUUCUAGAAAACGUUUCUACCCUUCACUGGGCCGGAUUCGCGAUCUAGAUCUUUUACUUUGAAAAAUUAGAGUGUUUAAAGCAGGCGAUCGCUUGAAUACAUUAGCAUGGAAUAAUAGAAUAGGACUUUGGUUCUAUUUUGUUGGUUUCUAGGACCGAAGUAAUGAUUAAUAGGGACAGUUGGGGGCAUUAGUAUUUAAUUGUCAGAGGUGAAAUUCUUGGAUUUAUGAAAGACUAACUACUGCGAAAGCAUUUGCCAAGGAUGUUUUCAUUAAUCAAGAACGAAAGUUAGGGGAUCGAAGACGAUCAGAU